Myodes glareolus (Bank vole) is the source of this 639-nucleotide non-coding RNA. Lineage: Eukaryota; Metazoa; Chordata; Mammalia; Rodentia; Cricetidae. The record is from RefSeq and is a predicted model, not a curated record.
CACACACACACACACACACACACACUAAACUAGAAAGUCAAUUAUUUAACAUGCAUUUUCUAAUGAAACGUCUAAGAAGAUUCCCUGCUUGCAUUUUGGAAUGGCAAGAUAGUUGCCACAUCUGCUUCUGAAUUAAGGCAUUAUUGGUGGACUUGAAAUGAACAGCUGGACUGCUUCACAUGCUCCAGGCACCAUGAUGUCUUUCUUGCUCAAGCAAACAGGACCAAAAUCACCAAAGAUAGAACUCACUGAAACCAUGAACAAGAACAAAACCUUCCUUGCUUAUGGUGCCUUUGCUAGGCAUGUUAGUCAUGUUGACAAAUGGUCACUGAUAUACAGUUUUACCACCCAUGUGAAUAAAGCAAAUAUAAGAUAAAAUGAUAGUGCCUGGAAGAUGCAAUUUGGUUGGUGAUGAAUUGAAUUUUGUGUUAUAUAAAAUGCAGAUGAGUAUUAAGUCAUAAGUGGGCAGAGGAAAGUUUAUUGACUAAUACUAAAUGAGUGUAGCAAGAUAUAGCAAAAGACAUUGAAAUGGCAAGGGUGAAAUGAAGAUUGUUUUGUGUGUCACAAGAUGAGAUACACAUUACUGACCCAUUUCUGUCCUACAUCAUAUGCUUGUUUCAACCAUUAAAGUGUGUAUUU